RNAcentral lists this small RNA (106 nucleotides) under Marmota monax (woodchuck). Lineage: Eukaryota; Metazoa; Chordata; Mammalia; Rodentia; Sciuridae. The record is from RNAcentral.
CCUGGGCAUGGUGGUGCACACCUGUAACCUCAGCUGCUUGGGAGGCUGAGGCAGGAGGAUCACAAGUUGAAGCUAGCCUCAUCAAUUUAGCAAGAUCUUGCCUCUA